This 740-nucleotide ribosomal RNA is filed under the name uncultured bacterium. Its description in RNAcentral is "bacterial SSU rRNA". It matches the Rfam family "Bacterial small subunit ribosomal RNA", at positions 8 to 796 of the family's 1533-position model. The record is from RNAcentral.
AGAGUUUGAUCAUGGCUCAGAACGAACGCUGGCGGCAGGCUUAACACAUGCAAGUCGAACGCACCUUCGGGUGAGUGGCAGACGGGUGAGUAACGCGUGGGAACGUGCCCUUCAGUUCGGAAUAACCCAGGGAAACUUGGGCUAAUACCGGAUACGUGCGAGAGCAGAAAGAUUUAUCGCUGAAGGAUCGGCCCGCGUCUGAUUAGCUAGUUGGUGGGGUAAUGGCCCACCAAGGCGACGAUCAGUAGCUGGUCUGAGAGGAUGAUCAGCCACAUUGGGACUGAGACACGGCCCAAACUCCUACGGGAGGCAGCAGUGGGGAAUAUUGGACAAUGGGCGCAAGCCUGAUCCAGCCAUGCCGCGUGAGUGAUGAAGGCCUUAGGGUUGUAAAGCUCUUUCGGCGGGGACGAUAAUGACGGUACCCGCAGAAGAAGCCCCGGCUAACUUCGUGCCAGCAGCCGCGGUAAUACGAAGGGGGCUAGCGUUGUUCGGAAUCACUGGGCGUAAAGGGCGCGUAGGCGGCUUGAUAAGUCGGGGGUGAAAGCCUGUGGCUCAACCACAGAAUUGCCUUCGAUACUGUCUGGCUUGAGACCGGAAGAGGUAAGUGGAACUGCGAGUGUAGAGGUGAAAUUCGUAGAUAUUCGCAAGAACACCAGUGGCGAAGGCGGCUUACUGGUCCGGUUCUGACGCUGAGGCGCGAAAGCGUGGGGAGCAAACAGGAUUAGAUACCCUAGUAGUCC